GGAACAUGUGUGUUUUUGAUAGUAACAACAACGGAGCUCUUUGGCAGAGAAGAAGAAGAAUAUCAGGCUGUGGAGGAAUCUCGUGAUCUCUUAAUGAAUCUCUUAAUUUAAAAGUGUCAGAGUUUGAUAUUUAGACCAGCAGCUGGUCGGGAUGCAUUUAUUCACGGUCGUCCUGAAAUACACAACAAACCUCAGCGUCAGAUCAGAGAACGCAAGCAGAGCGAGGUGAAAGUUGGCAGAAGGUCUGGAACAGAAUGACGUGUGUUUACUGGACGGAUCAGAGGUUUUUGUUUUCGGUCAACGGAUCAGAGCGAACACGAUGACGAGAGAGAGAAACACACACAAAGAGAGAAGAAGAGUUUGUAGUGAGUUCAGCUCAAACUGAAACCAUGGAGGACCUCUGGUGAGCACCACCCGACACGUGGCCCCGCGGCAACUUGAGACAAAUCAUUUCCAUGGCGAGGGCCAACUGAAAGGGUCGGUACGUCCUGCUCGGGGAAGGCUCGCCAAGAGGAUAGGUUUGGCGGGAAGUCUGUGUGUGCGUGCGCGUGAGAGAAAGAGAGAAAGCACAAAACAGAGGGUGUGUGUUUGUAUAGAUAAUAAAAAAGAAUCUGAUCUUUUGUGUGUGUGUGUGUGUGUGUGUGUGUGUGUGUGUGUGUGUGUGUGUGUGCAUAUAAUGUAAUCAGGGAAUGAUCUUGUCAUGAAGGAAAUCAGAAAGACUCUGUGUUCCUGUUUAAUAUAAUUCAAAGUUUCAAGGUCAAAGGUCGUGGAUUUAAUUAGAUUUAACUUUCUUGUAUUAAGCAGGCGAAGGAAGUUCUCACAUCCUUUACAGAUACCACAAUACAGAAGUAUGUUCAGCCAAAUAACCUUCAAGUAUCAAAAGUAAAAGCACUGCAGAGAGCUUCUCUUUGUGCACCUGCAACACGCUGCAGAUUGUUUUGUGUUAAUGAAUUAACUGCUUUGUAAAUG
Molecule: long non-coding RNA, 969 nt
Organism: Cottoperca gobio
Lineage: Eukaryota; Metazoa; Chordata; Actinopteri; Perciformes; Bovichtidae
Exons: 3
Source: RefSeq, a predicted model, not a curated record